GACAGAGGAGGCGAGCGUUAUCCGGAGUUAUUGGGCGUAAAGGGUACGUAGGCGGCUGGUCAAGUCUGGGGUUAAAGACCACAGCUUAACUGUGGGGGUGCCUUGGAAACUGACCGGCUGGAGUGGGGCAGGGGUUGCGGUAAUUCCCGGUGUAGCGGUGAAAUGCGUAGAUAUCGGUAAGAACACCUGAGGCGAAAGCGCGCAACUGGGCUCUAACUGACGCUGAGGUACGAAAGCUAGGGGAGCGAAUGGG
This 253-nucleotide ribosomal RNA is filed under the name uncultured bacterium. RNAcentral's name for it is "partial 16S ribosomal RNA". It matches the Rfam family "Bacterial small subunit ribosomal RNA", at positions 524 to 776 of the family's 1533-position model. The record is from RNAcentral.